This is a long non-coding RNA of Equus caballus (horse), 2349 nucleotides long. Lineage: Eukaryota; Metazoa; Chordata; Mammalia; Perissodactyla; Equidae. The record is from Ensembl.
UUUCACUUUGUACUUUCUCUCCAAAAUCUUGACUUGAACAUCUGUCCUCGGCCAGUCAAAGAGCCGCCUCCACUGGACCAUUUGCUUCUGCAAGAUUUUCUGGUCGUGGGCAGUGAGAACGAUAGAAGGCACUUUGCCGCACAGGCAGAGUGGCAGGUUCCUCAAAAGUUGGACUCAACUAGAAAUCUCUUGUUGGAACUGACCUCCCACACCUCCAAGGACUUGGAGAGGAGACCAAGGGGAAGAAAUUUGACUCCGUGCCUAGUAUCUAGUGGUCUAGAGUACAUACAUUAAGUCACUGCAACAAAUAUUUCAAGAGAAAAAGUCUGUCAUCUGCCUUGAUGGUAAGACUUUUAUCAAGAGAAAAUAUCUACAUUUUCACUGUUUACUGAAAAGUAGGAAUACUCUACUGUGCAUUAUAUUCUGUUGUACUCUGUUGUUUUAUUUUACAGCAAUUAGAGAAGACAUGGAGUAGAUCUAUGAUGAAUAGAUUUUUUAAGUUUCAAAGCCAUUAUUUUGGAUGUUAUUCUCCAGUGAAACAACGAUGGAAUUAAUUUUGGGAUGUCAUUGACAUAUGAGGUCUUAAGGGAAGGAAAUCAUAUCAGUUAGAAUACAAUUGAGCUGUAUCAGAAAAUCCAAAAUAACAGUUUAAACAACAGAGAAGUUGAUUUGUCUCACACAUAAACAUAGGCAAGCCAGAGUUAAUAUGGCGAAUAGCUCCUUGAUUAUCAGGCACUUGGGCUUCUUCUAGUUGUUUGACCAACAUCAAGAAAUGACUUUCACCUUGUAGUCCAAGGUGGCAGCAUUCUAACCAGCAGCAAGCCCCCUCCAUUCCAGCCCCCUCUCUUUAAGGAGACUCCACAGAAACCAGAACCUAGUGUCAUAGCCAUAUGCAGCUGCAAGGAGGACUGGGUAAUGUAGUCUUUACUCUGGAUGGCCUUAGGCCCAGCUAAAAUUCAGGCUUCUAAAGAAGAGAAUGGGUAUUAAGGGGUGACCAACAGUCUCUCUCAUAGGAACUUGAAUUGGUGAACACUAUCCAGAACCAAUGAAUCUUUUAUGUGUUGGCACCAUAAUCAUUGUCAUUGGUUCUGGAUAGUGUUCACUGUUCCCUUUGCUGCUUUUAUGGGUUUUAAGCACUAUAUGCAGUGGCAGGACUCUGUUUUGGAACCCCUCAGCAUAUUGCUACUACUUGCCCACUCUUAGUUGUGGCUGCUGGUAUGUGACUUUCUGCUUAGAUUGGGGAGGUGUGAGCAAAGAAGGUGGGUGAGUCUGAGAGACAAGAGAUGUCAGGAGCCUGCCUGGGGAAGAUCUUCUUCUGGACUGUGGGGAAUACCACUUGUACCAUGUGGCAGCAAUCCCUUCAUGAGAUUGGUCCUAGGGUGUCAAGCAGGCCUCAUGAGUGGGUCUUCUGGAGGAGUACUUCAUUGUUUUCCUUGAAAGAUGGGAUGAGAAAUACGACAGAACAUAUUAGAGGAAUAGUGGAAGCCCUGGGUUCUUCCUGGGUCUUUCACCAUGUAAAGCAGGCUUGGAGGGCAACUGCAGAAGCUGGAAUCUACCUUGCUACAGCCUUGGCAGGUAAAGGCUGCAGCAAAAAUGUGCAGCCCAGGUUGCCCUGAGGGGCAGAAUCAAAACUAUAAGCAGACUCCCUACAUACAGCAGAGAAAGCCCUGCUCAGCUAGAGCCCAAGGACAAUCUCCAAAGAUAAGUGUGGAGAGACUUAAUUACCAUUUAAAGUUGUCCUGGACUGACCUUUCUGUGCAGUAAACUUUGCUUCUGAACCUUAUCUUGUGUUAGUACUUAUAGGCUCCAUUCUCCCCUCCAAGCCUAUGAGGAUACUCAGCUACAAACAUGGCCUUUGAGGUGUAGAAGGAGGGGGGUGGGAAGGACCUGUGGAUCCCCAGUCUCCCCUGGGAUCCCCCUUCAGGAUGCUGCUUGGCUUGGGACAAGUCUGAGCAUGGAGGUUACAUGCAGAGCAUUAAUGCCAAUGUGUGGGGAGAAGGAUUCUUUCUCUGCCGGAACAUCUGGAGUGACACUGAGGACAUACUUAUACACAUUUACACGAGCCCCGGGGGAUUCCCAUGCCUGAGAGAACUGGCUAGAUAGUUCCUAUUACACAUUUAUUUCCUUAAAGGAAGUAUUUUAUAUUCUACCCUGUAAUUCAAUUCCUUUGGCUCUCCACCAUGCUAAAAAGCAAAAGAACAUAUAGUCCAAACAAUUUUUAAAAUCAAGUUUUUUUCCCUCCAGAUAGUAAAUGUUCACAAUUCGUGCAGCUUUUACACACAUCUGUAAGCUAUGACUUGUUUAUACCAGCUCUUACAAUAUUUUAAAAAUAAAGUAUAAUGUUUUUCA